CCCAAAACAAAACCUGAGAUGCAACCAACCUGCAGCUGCUCUGUUGGCCUUCUCCAGAUUGAAACUGAGCGUAUGAGCUCACAAAGGAAGGAAACAGCUCUGUAUGUAUGUAUGUAUACAAAUCAGCCGCUUCCUCAGGCUGACCACUUUGGCAGUGCAGCGAGCCUGAAGCUCCGGAGGACUAAAGAGGAGGUCUGCGUCCAGUAAGGGGAAGGGUUACAGAGCAGAGGAGGAGGAGACAGGAACAAAAAAGAAGACAGUGAAGCAGAGAGAGAGAGACAGAUAGAAGAGGACCAGUGACAGAGAUACAGAUGAUCACAGACUGCUGCUGUUCAAAGAUGGAUUUAACUUCGCUUCAAGCUCUGGAGAGAGAAAGAGUCCUGGAGGUUCUGCGGAGAGACAAACAGCUGCGUACCAUUGAAGAGGACAGGAUAAGGAGGAUGAAACAUGAUCUCCAGGAGCUUCGAAGGAGAGGUGCGAAGAGUUUCGCCCGGCAGUACGGCGAGAGGACCUGCGCCCGCUGCCAGAGGCCGCUGGGAAAGUUCUGGAACUCGGGCGAAGUCUGCAGCGGCUGCAGCCACCGCAUCUGCAGCAAGUGCCGCGUGGGAGCGGCGGACUGGAAGUGCACGGUCUGCUACGCCUACAGGGAGGUGAAGUUCAGGUCUGGAGAAUGGUUCCUGGAGGAGAAGGCCAAGAAAUUUCCAGUCACCACAGACAAAUAUGAGAUGGUUGGUGAGAAACUAUUAAAGAGCUACAACGUGCUGAGCGAUAUAUCAGUUGUGCCUCCCACUCCUCCACCCUACUUAUUAUCAGAUUAUCAGUUUCUGAGCAGAUCUGGGGAUUUGAAAAACUCAAAACCGUUUACCAAGUCUAUGGAGGAUCUAAUGGUUUCCUUCACCAGUCAUAUUAAAAAGAUUUCCACUUCUCAGAACGAUGUGCGAGGAGACCUGCUGAGAGUCGACAGCAGCCAGAGAGAGACGUGCUCCCACUACACCCAAAUGAGCCUCUCUGACACUGACAUCAACAAAACUAGCACGCUCUUUAAAGGCCCCAGUCUUCCAAACCUGUUCAAGAAAAGCAAAGACAGCGACCUGGAAGGCUCCUCCACCGGGGCGGAAGAAGAAACUUCAUGCGGUUCUGAGUACUCUGGAGGAAAGCGAGGCAGCAGCAGCAGCAUGAUGAGCUUAGACUGCGGCCUCAUCGAGAGCAUCGUCGUAGCAGGAGAGCUGGAGCUGGCUCUGGCCUACAACACACACACCUCCAGGCUGGAGAUCACAGUCGGCACCUGCAGAAAUCUCUCCUACGGAGACACCAAGAGGAAGAAGUGUCGCCCGUACGUCAAACUCUACGUGCUGCCGGGAAAUAGCAGCAAAAUGAAGACGACAGUCAAGAAAAACACAACUGAUCCGGUUUAUAAUGAAGUUUUCAAGUAUCCACAUAGAGCGCCACCUGCUGUUUGGAAAGAGACUGCGGGCCUCUGUGUGGCAUUCAGGAACCCUGAGAAGGAAGGUGUUUCUCGGCGAGGUCCUUUUCCCGCUGGAUGGCUGGAGAUUUGAGGACAAAGACUCCCAGUGCUUCAACUGGUACCCACUUUGUCCGAAGGCUGAGAGUUCGGAGGGCGGCGCUGUGGAGCCGGACGGAGAAGUGCUGGUCCGAGUCAAGUUUAACAGCCAGGGUGUCUGACUCUAGGAGCAGGAAGAGAUGUCGUCCACAGGACGCCCUUCUCUGAGGGUGAGAGUGGGCUCAUGCUGGCUCUCUGAAGGCGGAGCUGUGGCCCCUCCUGCCCCUCUGAGGGGCUCUAACAGACCCUGGGUCACCGUGGCAACCGGCGUUGGGAAGCCCAACAGGUGGAGCGGCGUCAGCCUCCACGUGUCUCGCCAACGUCAGGAGGAACAUGACGACAACAGGCUCGGCACUUUAAGACGUUCACAGUUCAGUGUUUAUAAGAUCUGCGAGAUGUAUUCCGUUAACAAAGCGUGCACACGAGUGAAGGAAAUGUUUUUAAUGUAUUUAAAUCUGGAGCUUGAGCUUCCCUCUUCUUAAAGUCACUAUAAGUAUGCUGAAACAUUAAAUACCCCCAUAUUAAAAUAGUUUUAUUUAUCGCUGCUAUAGUAUCUAUCUGCACAGAAUACGACAGCCUCUGUUCUUCUCAACAGAUAAGAAAGAAACUCCCCAAACCUCAUGACAGUAUGUCAUUAAGCAAACAUAUUUCUGGUUGCAUGGCAAGUCGCAGGAAGUGCGUUCUGUCAUCAAUGCUCAACCUCUCAGCAGUUUAAUGUGGAAGAAAGAUGGAAAAGAUAUAUUUUGUUAUAUAUGUGCACUUUUCAUAUGCAGCCCUGAAUCAUAUGCAUCAUAACAAAUGAGAAUUCCUGCUAUAUUAUGCCAUAAUGUACUUUU
Molecule: RNA transcript, 2397 nt
Organism: Cottoperca gobio
Lineage: Eukaryota; Metazoa; Chordata; Actinopteri; Perciformes; Bovichtidae
Gene: sytl3
Gene name: synaptotagmin-like 3
Exons: 15
Source: RefSeq, a predicted model, not a curated record